GACGAACGCUGGCGGCGUGCCUAAUACAUGCAAGUCGAACGCUGAAGGAGGAGCUUGCUUCUCUGGAUGAGUUGCGAACGGGUGAGUAACGCGUAGGUAACCUGCCUGGUAGCGGGGGAUAACUAUUGGAAACGAUAGCUAAUACCGCAUAAUAGCAGUUGUUGCAUGAUAACUGUUUGAAAGGUGCAAUUGCACCACUACCAGAUGGACCUGCGUUGUAUUAGCUAGUUGGUGGGGUAACGGCUCACCAAGGCGACGAUACAUAGCCGACCUGAGAGGGUGAUCGGCCACACUGGGACUGAGACACGGCCCAGACUCCUACGGGAGGCAGCAGUAGGGAAUCUUCGGCAAUGGACGGAAGUCUGACCGAGCAACGCCGCGUGAGUGAAGAAGGUUUUCGGAUCGUAAAGCUCUGUUGUAAGAGAAGAACGAGUGUGAGAGUGGAAAGUUCACACUGUGACGGUAUCUUACCAGAAAGGGACGGCUAACUACGUG
Molecule: ribosomal RNA, 495 nt
Filed under: uncultured bacterium
Lineage: Bacteria
Description: partial 16S ribosomal RNA
Rfam family: Bacterial small subunit ribosomal RNA
Source: RNAcentral